Molecule: transfer RNA, 75 nt
Filed under: Candidatus Woesearchaeota archaeon
Lineage: Archaea; Nanobdellati; Candidatus Woesearchaeota
Also listed under: 1 other name
Description: tRNA-Glu
Rfam family: tRNA
About the family: Transfer RNA (tRNA) molecules are approximately 80 nucleotides in length. Their secondary structure includes four short double-helical elements and three loops (D, anti-codon, and T loops).
Source: RNAcentral
GCCCCGGUCGUCUAGCCCGGCCAAGGAUGCGGGACUCUCAAUCCCGAGACGCGGGUUCAAAUCCCGCCCGGGGCA